AUGAACGCUGGCGGCGUGCCUAAUACAUGCAAGUCGAGCGAACAGACGAGGAGCUUGCUCCUCUGACGUUAGCGGCGGCCGGGUGAGUAACACGUGGAUAACCUACCUAUAAGACUGGGAUAACUUCGGGAAACCGGAGCUAAUACCGGAUAAUAUAUUGAACCGCAUGGUUCAAUAGUGAAAGACGGUUUUGCUGUCACUUAUAGAUGGAUCCGCGCCGCAUUAGCUAGUUGGUAAGGUAACGGCUUACCAAGGCAACGAUGCGUAGCCGACCUGAGAGGGUGAUCGGCCACACUGGAACUGAGACACGGUCCAGACUCCUACGGGAGGCAGCAGUAGGGAAUCUUCCGCAAUGGGCGAAAGCCUGACGGAACAACGCCGCGUGAGUGAUGAAGGUCUUCGGAUCGUAAAACUCUGUUAUUAGGGAAGAACAAAUGUGUAAGUAACUAUGCACGUCUUGACGGUACCUAAUCAGAAAGCCACGGCUAACUACGUG
This 496-nucleotide ribosomal RNA is filed under the name uncultured bacterium. Its description in RNAcentral is "partial 16S ribosomal RNA". It matches the Rfam family "Bacterial small subunit ribosomal RNA", at positions 29 to 507 of the family's 1533-position model. The record is from RNAcentral.